AAAAAAAAAAAAUAAAAAAAAAUGAAAAAUAAAAUUUUUAUGAAAAAUAUAUAUUUUUUAAUUCUUCUAAAUAUGAUCUAUUCUUUGGUAAACAUGUCUUUGUUUCUAGAUUAUUUUGACAAAAAUAUAUUAUAGAACAAUAUAUAUAUUGUUUCAGUUGUAUGAACACUUGAAGGGAUUAUUUGCUGUGAUUGCCUGUUGGAAUAGGCUAUUUGCUAUAACAGGAAUGAUA
Molecule: unclassified non-coding RNA, 232 nt
Filed under: Hevea brasiliensis (rubber tree)
Lineage: Eukaryota; Viridiplantae; Streptophyta; Magnoliopsida; Malpighiales; Euphorbiaceae
Source: RNAcentral